UACGUAGGGCAAGCGUUGUCCGGAAUUACUGGGCGUAAAGCGCACGCAGGCGGAAUUGUAAGUCCGUUGUAAAAUUCAGAGGCUCAACCUCUGUCUGUCGGCGGAUACUGCAAAUCUAGAGUAUGUGAGAGGGAAGUGGAAUUCCUGGUGUAGCGGUGAAAUGCGUAGAUAUCAGGAGGAACUCCGGUGGCGAAGGCGACUUCCUGGCACAAGACUGACGCUCAUGUGCGAAAGCUAGGGUAGCGAACGGGAUUAGAUACCCG
This 263-nucleotide ribosomal RNA is filed under the name uncultured prokaryote. Its description in RNAcentral is "partial 16S ribosomal RNA". It matches the Rfam family "Bacterial small subunit ribosomal RNA", at positions 524 to 789 of the family's 1533-position model. The record is from RNAcentral.